This 265-nucleotide ribosomal RNA is filed under the name uncultured bacterium. RNAcentral's name for it is "partial 16S ribosomal RNA". It matches the Rfam family "Bacterial small subunit ribosomal RNA", at positions 335 to 615 of the family's 1533-position model. The record is from RNAcentral.
GUUCCUACGGAGCGCAGCAGUGGGGGAUAUUGCACAAUGGGGGAAACCCUGAUGCAGCGACGCCGCGUGGGCGAAGAAGUAUUUCGGUAUGUAAAGCCCUAUCAGCAGGGAAGAAGAAAUGACGGUACCUGAGUAAGAAGCACCGGCUAAAUACGUGCCAGCAGCCGCGGUAAUACGUAGGGAGCGAGCGUUGUCCGGAAUUACUGGGUGUAAAGGGAGCGUAGGCGGGAUGGCAAGUUGGGUGUUAAAUCUACCGGCUCAACUG